This 253-nucleotide unclassified non-coding RNA is filed under the name uncultured Pirellulaceae bacterium. Its description in RNAcentral is "contains 16S-23S intergenic spacer region". It matches the Rfam family "Bacterial small subunit ribosomal RNA", at positions 524 to 776 of the family's 1533-position model. The record is from RNAcentral. Lineage: Bacteria; Pseudomonadati; Planctomycetota; Planctomycetia; Pirellulales; Pirellulaceae.
GACGAACCGUCCGAACGUUAUUCGGUAUCACUGGGCUUAAAGCGUGCGUAGGCGGCUUGGUAGGUGGGGUGUGAAAUCCCUCGGCUCAACCGAGGAAUAGCGCUCCAAACCACCAGGCUUGAGGAAGACAGGGGUGAGUGGAACAGUUGGUGGAGCGGUGAAAUGCGUUGAUAUCAACUGGAACACCGGUGGCGAAAGCGACUCACUGGGUCUUUUCUGACGCUGAGGCACGAAAGCUAGGGGAGCGAACGGG